UAUGUCUUGAAAUAGAAUUUAGAAAUGUUCGAACUGCUAAAAAAUAUUACCACUUUGCACUAUGAUGAUUAAACAAGAUGUUAUAAGAGACUAUAAAUUUUUUUUAUCCUUCUGCUUACACAUGCAAAUUUACGAGGCAGAAAGAUAAGCAACUUAGAAUACGUUCUACUAGCAGACUGGCAGAUAUGGUCAGUUCAAAGUACUGGUGGUUUGCCUACUUUCACUACUUCGCCAUUUUUUUCUUUUUGGCACCUUUUCCUUGCCACCCCCCCAACGACUAUUUUUGGUGUCUGACAUCAUGAUGCCAGUGUGAGAAGUUUGUGUAUUUGCGGAUAGUGUCACGCGGGCCGGAGCUGGUGGGAGCGUGCCUCCUCAUAUUUAGAUGGUUUAAAACAGCCGACCAAUGAACAUCGUUGAUGUGGCGUGAUCGCGAUUUUGUUCGUAGACAAAAAAAAAUUAUGCAGACAGAAUUCGUAGAGAUAAAUUCUUUAAGUGUGAUGAUUACGAGAAAAUAAUUUGCAAAUCACUGGCAUAAGGCCGUAUUGAAAGAUUCUUUGUCUAAUUCUAAACUAUUAUCUAACUAAUUCACUAGAUAUUUCUCGAGAUUGUUCGUUGUGCUGGACAAGCUUUUAUACCUGCUGACCUGACUGGCGCAUAUAUUCUCUAGCAGGAUGGCCCUUCUACUUUACAACAAGAUGUCUGGUGGUGUAAUCUGGAACAGAUAACUUCACUUUCGGGAUACAAAUACACAAUACAAAAGAAGAAAAAAGAACUGGUUUUUUCUGGGAAAAACGAGAACCAUGAACUAAAAUAUAUACCGAGAAGAGUGGUAAUCAUUCAAAAUGAGGAUUAUUGCUAUCCACAAUAUACAUGUACAAAAUAAUUACUCAAUCUUCCA
Molecule: long non-coding RNA, 898 nt
Organism: Cimex lectularius (bed bug)
Lineage: Eukaryota; Metazoa; Arthropoda; Insecta; Hemiptera; Cimicidae
Exons: 4
Source: RefSeq, a predicted model, not a curated record